This 1612-nucleotide ribosomal RNA is filed under the name Escherichia coli. Its description in RNAcentral is "partial 23S ribosomal RNA". It matches the Rfam family "Bacterial large subunit ribosomal RNA", at positions 233 to 1869 of the family's 2925-position model. The record is from RNAcentral. Lineage: Bacteria; Pseudomonadati; Pseudomonadota; Gammaproteobacteria; Enterobacterales; Enterobacteriaceae.
GAUUCCCCCAGUAGCGGCGAGCGAACGGGGAGCAGCCCAGAGCCUGAAUCAGUGUGUGUGUUAGUGGAAGCGUCUGGAAAGGCGCGCGAUACAGGGUGACAGCCCCGUACACAAAAAUGCACAUGCUGUGAGCUCGAUGAGUAGGGCGGGACACGUGGUAUCCUGUCUGAAUAUGGGGGGACCAUCCUCCAAGGCUAAAUACUCCUGACUGACCGAUAGUGAACCAGUACCGUGAGGGAAAGGCGAAAAGAACCCCGGCGAGGGGAGUGAAAAAGAACCUGAAACCGUGUACGUACAAGCAGUGGGAGCACGCUUAGGCGUGUGACUGCGUACCUUUUGUAUAAUGGGUCAGCGACUUAUAUUCUGUAGCAAGGUUAACCGAAUAGGGGAGCCGAAGGGAAACCGAGUCUUAACUGGGCGUUAAGUUGCAGGGUAUAGACCCGAAACCCGGUGAUCUAGCCAUGGGCAGGUUGAAGGUUGGGUAACACUAACUGGAGGACCGAACCGACUAAUGUUGAAAAAUUAGCGGAUGACUUGUGGCUGGGGGUGAAAGGCCAAUCAAACCGGGAGAUAGCUGGUUCUCCCCGAAAGCUAUUUAGGUAGCGCCUCGUGAAUUCAUCUCCGGGGGUAGAGCACUGUUUCGGCAAGGGGGUCAUCCCGACUUACCAACCCGAUGCAAACUGCGAAUACCGGAGAAUGUUAUCACGGGAGACACACGGCGGGUGCUAACGUCCGUCGUGAAGAGGGAAACAACCCAGACCGCCAGCUAAGGUCCCAAAGUCAUGGUUAAGUGGGAAACGAUGUGGGAAGGCCCAGACAGCCAGGAUGUUGGCUUAGAAGCAGCCAUCAUUUAAAGAAAGCGUAAUAGCUCACUGGUCGAGUCGGCCUGCGCGGAAGAUGUAACGGGGCUAAACCAUGCACCGAAGCUGCGGCAGCGACGCUUAUGCGUUGUUGGGUAGGGGAGCGUUCUGUAAGCCUGUGAAGGUGUGCUGUGAGGCAUGCUGGAGGUAUCAGAAGUGCGAAUGCUGACAUAAGUAACGAUAAAGCGGGUGAAAAGCCCGCUCGCCGGAAGACCAAGGGUUCCUGUCCAACGUUAAUCGGGGCAGGGUGAGUCGACCCCUAAGGCGAGGCCGAAAGGCGUAGUCGAUGGGAAACAGGUUAAUAUUCCUGUACUUGGUGUUACUGCGAAGGGGGGACGGAGAAGGCUAUGUUGGCCGGGCGACGGUUGUCCCGGUUUAAGCGUGUAGGCUGGUUUUCCAGGCAAAUCCGGAAAAUCAAGGCUGAGGCGUGAUGACGAGGCACUACGGUGCUGAAGCAACAAAUGCCCUGCUUCCAGGAAAAGCCUCUAAGCAUCAGGUAACAUCAAAUCGUACCCCAAACCGACACAGGUGGUCAGGUAGAGAAUACCAAGGCGCUUGAGAGAACUCGGGUGAAGGAACUAGGCAAAAUGGUGCCGUAACUUCGGGAGAAGGCACGCUGAUAUGUAGGUGAAGUCCCUCGCGGAUGGAGCUGAAAUCAGUCGAAGAUACCAGCUGGCUGCAACUGUUUAUUAAAAACACAGCACUGUGCAAACACGAAAGUGGACGUAUACGGUGUGACGCCUGCCCGGUGC